Long non-coding RNA from Leptidea sinapis, 936 nucleotides. RefSeq lists it as uncharacterized. Lineage: Eukaryota; Metazoa; Arthropoda; Insecta; Lepidoptera; Pieridae. The record is from RefSeq and is a predicted model, not a curated record. The transcript has 3 exons.
UGUAUCAUUUGUAAUAUCUGAAUCAAUAUUUGUUUGCAAUACUUUAAUUGGCCUUGUCUUCAAUUAAAAAUAUAUAAAAAUGUGUUUACAAUAUAAUAUACUUAUGAAAUAAUUAACUAAUAGUGAUACUGACUUUAUUCUAUACUUCUGUGAUGUAGGCUUUCAUAACUCACAUUAUUACAUGACACCGGGUAAAUGUAAAUUUUUACGGGGAUUUACCUAAAAAAUGAAGAAAAAAGAUUUUUAGGCUUAAGUGACAUCACUAUUUGACAAAAUAGUGUUAAAGAAAAAGACUUCCAAAUUAUAUUUUUUCUUCAGUGUAAUUAUCCAUACAGGUGUUAUUUUCUGUAAAGUGUUUUCGAAUCACGACAUUAAUGUUGAUCAAUAAUCGGGCCUGUCAGGCAAUCCACUUAAUGAUAUUACCGAUUACCGCCGCCCAUACUCUCCUGCAACUCAAGAGGAAUCACAGGAGCGUUUUCGGCCUUCUAAGUGUACGCUUACACUUCCAAACUCAAACAAAAAAAUUAAUUUAUUAUGCGUCGGUCAUGGAAAUAUACGAUGAAUUAUGUUAGUACUGAAUAUAUUAUACCGUGGAAUUGUUGAACAAUUUUCAAUUAUAUGUUUUGAUUGGAAGUUGUUAAAUUACUACAGAGAGUACUACAAUGAUUGUAGUUUUGGCAAUAGCCCUGUUAUUGAGUCUACCACAGAACGGGCAGCCCCAUUGCGCCUACGGUAGGAAGCCAGUAUGUGGCAGCGAUGGCUUCACCUACUUCAACAGGUGCGAUUUUGAAGUUGUCAAGGCAAUCCACAGAAACCUUACAAUAGUCCAUUACGGAGCUUGCACUCAUCAGAAAGCCAAUCAGAAGCACAUGUUUUCGGUGUAAUAAUUGACAAGAGUCGUCAUUCAGUUAAUAAAAUAUAUCAUAAUAUAGUGAA